AGCGAACGCUGGCGGCAUGCUUAACACAUGCAAGUCGCACGGGCGGGGGCAACUCCGUCAGUGGCGGACGGGUGAGUAACGCGUAGGUAUCUGUCUCUGGGUGGGGGAUAACCGCGGGAAACUGUGGCUAAUACCGCAUGACACCUGAGGGUCAAAGGCGUGAGUCGCCUGGGGAGGAGCCUGCGUACGAUUAGCUAGUUGGUAGGGUAAUGGCCUACCAAGGCGACGAUCGUUAGCUGGUCUGAGAGGAUGAUCAGCCACACUGGGACUGAGACAC
This 277-nucleotide ribosomal RNA is filed under the name uncultured bacterium. RNAcentral describes it as "partial 16S ribosomal RNA". It matches the Rfam family "Bacterial small subunit ribosomal RNA", at positions 29 to 327 of the family's 1533-position model. The record is from RNAcentral.